GCCCUACGGGGGGCUGCAGUGGGGAAUAUUGCGCAAUGGAGGAAACUCUGACGCAGCGACGCCGCGUGGGUGAUGAAGGCCUUCGGGUUGUAAAGCCCUGUCGGCUGGGAAAAAGGUAGUCGUGCUAACACCACGAUUGCUUGAUGGUACCAGCAAAGGAAGCACCGGCUAACCCUGUGCCAGCAGCCGCGGUAAUACAGGGGGUGCUAGCGUUGUUCGGAAUUACUGGGCGUAAAGGGCGCGUAGGCGGUUUAACAAGUCUGUGGUGAAAUCCCGGGGCUUAACUCCGGACGUGCAGUGGAAACUGUUAGACUUGAGUGCAGUAGAGGUUGGUGGAAUUCCCAGUGUAGAGGUGAAAUUCGUAGAUAUUGGGAGGAACACCGGUGGCGAAGGCGGCCAACUGGACUGCAACUGACGCUGAGGCGCGAAAGCGUGGGGAUCAAACAGGAUUAGAUACCCUGGUAGUCU
Molecule: ribosomal RNA, 468 nt
Filed under: uncultured delta proteobacterium
Lineage: Bacteria; Deltaproteobacteria
Description: bacterial SSU rRNA
Rfam family: Bacterial small subunit ribosomal RNA
Source: RNAcentral